CAGCCGCCGCGGUAAUACCGGCGGCCCGAGUGGCGGUCACUAUUAUUGGGCUUAAAGCGUCCGUAGCCGGGUUGGGAAGUCCUCCGGGAAAUCUGGCCGCUUAACGGUCAGAAUGCCGGAGGAUACUCCCAGCCUAGGGAGCGGGAGAGGCCGAGGGGAUUCCCGGAGGAGGGGGGGAAUCCUAUAAUCCCGGGAGGACAACCUGUGGCGAAGGCGCUCGGCUGGAACGCGUCCGACGGUGAGGGACGAAGGCCAGGGGAGCAAACCGGAUUAGAUACCCGGGUAGUCCUGGCGGUAAACGAUGCGGACUUUGUGUCGGACAAGCUAUGAGCUUGUCCGGUGCCGGAGGGAAACCGUUAAGUCCGCCGCCUGGGGAGUACGGCCGCAAGGCUGAAACUUAAAGGAAUUGGCGGG
This 414-nucleotide ribosomal RNA is filed under the name uncultured microorganism. RNAcentral's name for it is "bacterial SSU rRNA". It matches the Rfam family "Archaeal small subunit ribosomal RNA", at positions 459 to 872 of the family's 1478-position model. The record is from RNAcentral.